UACGUAGGGGGCAAGCGUUGUCCGGAAUCAUUGGGCGUAAAGAGCGUGUAGGCGGCCUGAUGAGUCGGCUGUGAAAGUCAAGGGCUCAACCCUUGAAUGCCGGCCGAUACUGUCAGGCUAGAGUCCGGAAGAGGCGAGUGGAAUUCCUGGUGUAGCGGUGAAAUGCGCAGAUAUCAGGAGGAACACCGAUGGCGAAGGCAGCUCGCUGGGACGGUACUGACGCUGAGACGCGAAAGCGUGGGGAGCAAACAGG
RNAcentral lists this ribosomal RNA (253 nucleotides) under uncultured bacterium. Its description in RNAcentral is "partial 16S ribosomal RNA". It matches the Rfam family "Bacterial small subunit ribosomal RNA", at positions 524 to 776 of the family's 1533-position model. The record is from RNAcentral.